This 1170-nucleotide long non-coding RNA is filed under the name Piliocolobus tephrosceles (Ugandan red Colobus). RNAcentral's name for it is "lncRNA (ENSPTEG00000019130.1)". Lineage: Eukaryota; Metazoa; Chordata; Mammalia; Primates; Cercopithecidae. The record is from RNAcentral.
UUUCCCGUUUUAUCUCCUUUUCCCGUUUUAUCUCCUUUUCCUGUUUUUCCUCCUUUUCCCGUUUUUUCUCGUUUUCCCGUCUUUUCUCCUUUUCCCAUUUUUUCUCCUUUUCCCAUUUUUUCUUCUUUUCCCGUUUUAUCUCCUUUGUCCGUUUUAUCAUUUUUUUUUUAACCUCUUUUUUUAAUCUUUGCAUUUAGAAAUAUUAACUGAAAAUCCAAAGGUUGUUAUAAAAACUAGCAAAAAGAAAAAAAAAAAUAGAGCCAAACGGAAGAAAAAAAAGAAUACAACUAGUAACAAUAAUGUAAACAUAAUAAAAAAUACAAAUAAUGCUAAUAAAAAAAAUGAAAGUUGUAAAAGCGAAGUUAUAGAUCGGUGGGACAAAAAACCUAUGAUAUGUAAAUUUUAUUUUUUGAAAGGUAAGUGUUUACAUAAUGAAAAUUGUGCAUUUUCACAUGCGGUUGAACCUGUAUAUAAGAUGUCUAACUUAUGUAAAUAUUUCGUUAAAGGGGCUUGUUCAAAAGAAAAAUGUUUAUUUUCACAUGACCCAACAAUGUUUUUUUGUCGAAAUAAUGUUUUAAACAAUGCCUGUCACAACCCAACAUGUAAAUUUAAACAUGUUAAAAUUAAUAGUACUGUUACAAGUGUCGAUGAAUAUAAUUUAGAAGUUGAUAAUACAUUAACAAAAGAUGACAAGAUAAGGUUUAUAUAUAAUAAUAAAAAUUAUUUAACUGAAUUACUUCUUAAUAAUUAUGUAUCACACGAUGAACUUAAUCAAGUUGAUGAAAACACAUUUAAACCAAAAGAUCAGUACCCUUGGUUUAUUAAUGGUAUCAUAGAUUUGAUUCGGUUUGAUUUUAAAAUCGCUAGAACAGAUACAUUUUUUCAAAUUCUUAAUAGGUUUAAGCACAUGAGAAUGCCUAUGCCUAUGUCUACAAGUGAAAUUAAUGUAAAUUCUGGUACUACACUACAGAAUAAUAAUGCAUCAGAUGUAUUCAAAAACGAAAACUUUAACAAUAAAAACACAGUUGAUAAUAAUAAUGGUUAUAGGUCCAGUGGUAUUAAUAAUAGUAACAGUAAUGAUGAUAAACAGGUGAAUAAGUUACAAAUGCAUUUAAAUAAUAACGAAAGAAAAGAAAAAACAAAAGGAAAAAAUGCUCAGAGUAAUAAAAU